This 253-nucleotide ribosomal RNA is filed under the name uncultured bacterium. Its description in RNAcentral is "partial 16S ribosomal RNA". It matches the Rfam family "Bacterial small subunit ribosomal RNA", at positions 524 to 776 of the family's 1533-position model. The record is from RNAcentral.
UCCGUAGGUGGCAAUCGUUGUCCGGAAUUACUGGGCGUAAAGGGCGUGUAGGCGGGGCGGCAAGUCAGAUGUGAAAUCCCAUGGCUUAACUGUGGAGCUGCAUCUGAAACUGUCGUUCUUGAGUGUCGGAGAGGAAAGUGGAAUUCCCAGUGUAGCGGUGAAAUGCGUAGAGAUUGGGAGGAACACCAGUGGCGAAGGCGGCUUUCUGGACGAUAACUGACGCUGAGGCGCGAAAGCGUGGGGAGAAAACAGG